GAUGAAGAACGUAGCGAAAUGCGAUAAGUAAUGCGAAUUGCAGAAUUUCCGUGAGUCAUCGAAUCUUUGAACGCACAUUGCGCCCACUGGUAUUCCGGUGGGCAUGCCUGUUCGAGCGUCAUUAUCCUCCCUCAAACCUCGGGUUUGGUGUUGGACCCAAGUUGUGUGAACAACUGGUCUUAAAGACAAUGACGGCGUCCGUGGGACCCUCAGUGCAACGAGCUUUUAGGAGCACGCGCCGAGUUUCAAGGACCUUCCGGGCCGGUCUCCUUUACCAUUUUACAAGGUUGACCUCGGAUCAGGUAGGAAUACCCGCUGAACUUAAGCAUAUCAAUAAGCGGAGGA
Molecule: unclassified non-coding RNA, 345 nt
Filed under: soil metagenome
Description: partial contains 5.8S ribosomal RNA, internal transcribed spacer 2, and large subunit ribosomal RNA
Rfam family: 5.8S ribosomal RNA (bases 1-121)
Source: RNAcentral